GAUGAACGCUGGCGGCGUGCCUAAUACAUGCGAGUCGAGCGAACGGACGAGAAGCUUGCUCCUCUGAUGUUAGCGGCGGACGGGUGAGUAACACGUGGAUAACCUACCUAUAAGACUGGGAUAACUUCGGGAAACCGUAGCUAAUACCGGAUAAUAUUUUGAACCGCAUGGUUCAAAAGUGAAAGACGGUCUUGCUGUCACUUAUAGAUGGAUCCGCGCUGCAUUAGCUAGUUGGUAAGGUAACGGCUUACCAAGGCAACGAUGCAUAGCCGACCUGAGAGGGUGAUCGGCCACACGGGAACUGAGGCACGGUCCAGACUCCUACGGGAGGCAGCAGUAGGGAAUCUUCCGCAAUGGGCGAAAGCCUGACGGAGCAACGCCGCGUGAGUGAUGAAGGUCUUCGGAUCGUAAAACUCUGUUAUUAGGGAAGAACAUAUGUGUAAGUAACUGUGCACAUCUUGACGGUACCUAAUCAGAAAGCCACGGCUAACUACGUG
This 497-nucleotide ribosomal RNA is filed under the name uncultured bacterium. RNAcentral's name for it is "partial 16S ribosomal RNA". It matches the Rfam family "Bacterial small subunit ribosomal RNA", at positions 28 to 507 of the family's 1533-position model. The record is from RNAcentral.